UUGUCUCAAAGAUUAAGCCAUGCAUGUCUCAGUACAAGCCAAAUUAAGGUGAAACCGCGAAAGGCUCAUUAAAUCAGUUAUGGUUCCUUAGAUCGUACCCACAUUUACUUGGAUAACUGUGGUAAUUCUAGAGCUAAUACAUGCAAACAGAGCUCCGACCGGAAACGGAAGGAGCGCUUUUAUUAGAUCAAAACCAAUCGGUGGCGGUUCUCCGUCAUCGUACAACUUGGUGAAUCUGAAUAACUUUAAGCUGAUCGCACGGUCUCGCACCGGCGACGCAUCUUUCAAAUGUCUGCCUUAUCAACUGUCGAUGGUAGGUUCUGCGCCUACCAUGGUUGUAACGGGUAACGGGGAAUCAGGGUUCGAUUCCGGAGAGGGAGCCUGAGAAACGGCUACCACAUCCAAGGAAGGCAGCAGGCGCGCAAAUUACCCACUCCCGGCACGGGGAGGUAGUGACGAAAAAUAACGAUACGGGACUCAUCCGAGGCCCCGUAAUCGGAAUGAGUACACUCUAAACCCUUUAACGAGGAUCAAUUGGAGGGCAAGUCUGGUGCCAGCAGCCGCGGUAAUUCCAGCUCCAAUAGCGUAUAUUAAAGUUGUUGCGGUUAAAAAGCUCGUAGUCGAAUCUGUGUCCCGCGCCGUCGGUUCAUCGUUCGCGGUGUUAACUGACGUGCCGCGGGACGUCCUGCCGGUGGGCUUAGCUCGCGAGGGCGGCCCAACUCAAUCCCGCCGCGGUGCUCUUCAUUGAGUGUCGAGGUGGGCCGGCACGUUUACUUUGAACAAAUUAGAGUGCUUAAAGCAGGCUAAAACUUCGCCUGAAUACUGUGUGCAUGGAAUAAUGGAAUAGGACCUCGGUUCUAUUUUGUUGGUUUUCGGAACCCCGAGGUAAUGAUUAAUAGGAACGGAUGGGGGCAUUCGUAUUGCGACGUUAGAGGUGAAAUUCUUGGAUCGUCGCAAGACGGACAGAAGCGAAAGCAUUUGCCAAAAACGCUUUCAUUGAUCAAGAACGAAAGUUAGAGGUUCGAAGGCGAUCAGAUACCGCCCUAGUUCUAACCAUAAACGAUGCCAGCUAGCGAUCCGCCGACGUUCUUUCGAUGACUCGGCGGGCAGCUUCCGGGAAACCAAAGCUUUUGGGUUCCGGGGGAAGUAUGGUUGCAAAGCUGAAACUUAAAGGAAUUGACGGAAGGGCACCACCAGGAGUGGAGCCUGCGGCUUAAUU
This 1219-nucleotide ribosomal RNA is filed under the name Trachyscelis aphodioides. RNAcentral describes it as "SSU rRNA". It matches the Rfam family "Eukaryotic small subunit ribosomal RNA", at positions 32 to 1195 of the family's 1831-position model. The record is from RNAcentral. Lineage: Eukaryota; Metazoa; Arthropoda; Insecta; Coleoptera; Tenebrionidae.